UUAAAUACCCAGCUUUCCUCGGCCUGAUUACAACAAGCGUUAGAGCUCUGUCACAUUGUCACCCAGGAGGAAUACGACAGCAAACAAUUCUGUAGAAGGAAGAAAUCUUAUGUUUGCACUUUAUGUAAUUCGCAUGUAAGUGGGAAGCCUGAGUUGGUGGAAAUCUGGCUUGAGCAUCCAGAAUAUGCAGUUCCCUGGAUAGCCACCAAGAGGGGACUGAAGCAGAAGACAUGAUGUCACCUUCAAGGGGGAGACUUUUCAGCUGUCUGGGGCGGGGAACUAGGACGAAUGAGAAGAACUACCGGCCUCAAACCCCAAGGAGAGGCCAGAACACCUUUCUGGGCCCCAGUCCAACCUCUGCCUUGAAAACAAAGCUCCAAACGAGAUGCAGUGCAGAUUCCAGACCUCCAGAUCCUAGUUGCCCCGAGGGAGAGCUAGCUCCAAGCAGCCCAGAAGGUCUCUGGGUAUCCUGUGCCCCCACCCACAGAAAUCAGGAGCCCAAGGCUAUAACCAGUGUAGAACCAGACCUAAGAUAAUUCAAGGGUUACCAAGCCAGGUCUUUCGAAACCUUUCUCUCACUAAGGGAGAGGAG
Molecule: long non-coding RNA, 592 nt
Filed under: Mus spretus (western wild mouse)
Lineage: Eukaryota; Metazoa; Chordata; Mammalia; Rodentia; Muridae
Description: predicted gene 28676 (ENSMSPG00010021157.1)
Source: RNAcentral